GGAAUCCACGCGACUUUCUGGAAUUUGGUCUGGCCCUGUGGUUUGGAAACUGUUGGAGCAAUGGAAUCCUCCAUCUAUCUGUCUGUCUAGCUCGCUGGCCAGUUCACAGUGUCACUGUGCGGGGCUGGGGAGGGGCUGUGAUUGGGGUUUGGGGCUGUGUUGCGUGACCAGGCAACUUCCUCCGGCUCCUCCUUCUUAGGGCAGUCAGGGCAGGAAGGCUUUCGCUUUCGAAGGCUCCAGAAAAACGCAUUGGUUUCGCAGGGAAGCUGGGCUCGGUACUGCGGUGAGUGUGGCCGGGUGUGUUGGGGCCUCUGGGAGAGCGGCUGGGUGGAUGGAGCGUGGUCUGCAAUUGUCUCUCACCCUUUCCAGAUAGGUGAAGAGUCAAUCAUGAGCUGGUUCCAGAAACAGCUAGGCUGGAACACGAAGAACUAUAGCAGCAGCCAGGGGCUACAAAUGCCCAUAGGCAUCCCCAUUGCACUUGGAGUCCUGGCCCUCCUCGCCCUGCUGGCCCUGGCCUGUAACUGCCUCGCAGAGGCCUGGAAAUCCAAAUGGAGGCCCUGCUGCCAGAGGUGGUGGCACCUUCGCCCUGGAGAUGACCUGCAGCUUCUUCAGAGAGAUGACUUCUGCCAUGGCUGUGCGAACUUGGAAGAGGACCCUGCACUGACCGCAGCCUGAGACACUUUGGGCAGAGGACCCCUGUCUGCUCUCUCAGACCCCUGGGCCACCAAAUGUGUGAGAUAAUAAAUGGACAUUUUAAGUCGCCAAGUGUGUGAUGAUGUUUUGGGCAGCAAAGUGUAUGCCAGAGAGGACAGGC
Molecule: long non-coding RNA, 814 nt
Filed under: Cavia porcellus (domestic guinea pig)
Lineage: Eukaryota; Metazoa; Chordata; Mammalia; Rodentia; Caviidae
Description: lncRNA (ENSCPOG00000040499.1)
Source: RNAcentral